Dioscorea cayenensis subsp. rotundata (Guinea yam) is the source of this 589-nucleotide long non-coding RNA. RefSeq lists it as uncharacterized. The record is from RefSeq and is a predicted model, not a curated record. The transcript is spliced from 3 exons. Lineage: Eukaryota; Viridiplantae; Streptophyta; Magnoliopsida; Dioscoreales; Dioscoreaceae.
UGGAGUUGAGUUAGCCGCUACGAUCUCAGAGAGGUUAAAAGAUAAAGGGAUAGUUCAAGCAAUCAAUGUUGAGGAUGCUAAUUGUCCAACUGUGACACCUGGAAAUAGAGAAGCUGCAUUAAAGCUCUUUGUAGGCAAACAACUAUUCUCUGUUCUAUCAGAUUCAUGGCUUUCAAGAUAUGAGCAUGAAUGAAUGGCCAUCUGAAAAAGAAAGAGGAGGAUAGUAUGCAUUCUGAUGGGCAGAUGUCUGAAAUGCAGAAAACCAGUUAUUCUUGUCCAUGGUAAGUGUGGUAUUUUCUCCGUGCCACACUUGAAAGAAGCAAAAGGGAUGAUGAAAAUAUUUAUGUCUUACAUCUUCUGGUGAUGACCCUUUUCAACCAGAUAUAUGAUCUAUUUAAUAUUAUAACUGACACUGGAAUAUAUGCAACUAGAAAGGCAAAAUCUAUGACAUUUUCUACCACUGUAUCUGUUGGCUGGCAGGGUUGAAUUGUUUUGUUAGUUUCUUUUAUAUUUAUUCCACCAAUAAUGUGAUCACAUUAUCAAGUAAAAAAUAUCCUUGUUGUAUAAUGAAAACAUCACGAGAGAUGUG